Myzus persicae (green peach aphid) is the source of this 1113-nucleotide long non-coding RNA. RefSeq lists it as uncharacterized. The record is from RefSeq and is a predicted model, not a curated record. Lineage: Eukaryota; Metazoa; Arthropoda; Insecta; Hemiptera; Aphididae. The transcript has 6 exons.
UUUUAGGGCAUCAAUUUUCUUUUAAAAAAAACAACCGUUUCUUCAUUUUUUACAAAGUGCAUUAAUUUUAUUAUACAAUGGAGUCCCAAAAUCAUUUAAUCGACCAUACUUACAAUAUCUCACCCAUUCAAGAUAUAGCUGACGCAGGUCGUGUUGUUGUUGACGACAAUAUUCAGUUUUGGCCAGUUGGAGAUCGACCCAAUUCUUACCAAUUCAUUUGUAGUGUCCAUCGAAAUGAAGAAGUUAUUCAGGAUAAUUUAUGAUACUUAAAAUGUAAUGAAACGGCAAGUAAUGGAUGUCCAGCUACAGCUUUCAUUUCUACCAUUAUUGAGGAUAAAUCGUUUUCACUCUUCACUAAAACUAUAUUGACUACAUAAUCAUCCAGCUAGACCAUCAGACAAUGUAUUAAGAGAACUGAGAAAUUUACUUGGUGACAAAUGUAUAAAACAUUCUGCUCGCUCAUAUUCAGCUCGCACUUUAUACAUCGAAAUCACCCAGAAGGUGCUACCAAUUAUGCAUUUCUACAAGCUACUGAGAAAAUGAAAAAUAUAAAUCUGUUUUUCCACCUACACCUAGAAACCUGCAAGAUUUGAAUAAUUUAUUAUUAUUAAAAUAUAAUAGACAUUUCAAACACCAGGAAGUUUAUUCUAUCAAGGACCACUGAUGGUUGAUGGCACAAUUGUCGGGAUAUAGUUAAGCAAUAUUAAAUAUAUUUAAAACAUAAAAAAUGAUUUAAAAUAUGUAAUUUAACGUAUUGAGAAUUGUCUUAGAGUAUUUAUAUUUAUUAAUUAUGAUUAACUUGUUUGUAGGUAAGAAUAGCCGGUUGUGAUGGUACAUUUAAAACGAUUCUGAAAACAGUGGUGAUUGUUACCAACUCUUUACAUUUCAUAUAAUAUACAAUAAUGUUGUAAAUAUUAGCUAUAAAUAUCACCAAAAAAUGUUAAAAAGGACGUUGUACCCACGUGAGUAGUCUCCGUCUUACAUACGUCCGACACAGCAAAUUUCCGUUCACCAGAUUCUAUAGUGUGCUAUUAUUCUUUAUAUUAGAGUUUAUUUACCUAUUAUAAAAUUAAAAGGCGAGAUUACUAUCGUAUAAUAUGAUACAUAUACAUU